CAGUGACGAUAACGAUAACAAUGAUAACGAUAACAACGGUAUCGUUAUCGUUGUUAUCGUUACCAAUAUCGUUGUUAUCGUUAUCGUUGUUAUCAUUAUCG
Non-coding RNA from Podarcis lilfordi (Lilford's wall lizard), 101 nucleotides. Lineage: Eukaryota; Metazoa; Chordata; Lepidosauria; Squamata; Lacertidae. The record is from the annotation of a GenBank genome assembly.